GGCCUCCUGGUGCUUACCAGUCUGUGUUCUUAUACUGACUGUAUAGAAAGAGGAGGCAAAGUAAACCUAUCCCAUAUACACCUCAGCCCAGGCCCUGUGCCUGGUCUUUAUUGUGAAUGGGGAGACAUAG
RNAcentral lists this small nucleolar RNA (130 nucleotides) under Castor canadensis (American beaver). RNAcentral's name for it is "Small nucleolar RNA SNORA51 (ENSCCNG00000011309.1)". It matches the Rfam family "Small nucleolar RNA SNORA51". From Rfam's summary of the family: ACA51 is a member of the H/ACA class of snoRNA that guide the sites of modification of uridines to pseudouridines. Lineage: Eukaryota; Metazoa; Chordata; Mammalia; Rodentia; Castoridae. The record is from Rfam by way of RNAcentral.